UUUUUGAUAAUAAUUUAAAGUYUGAUCUGCUCCAUGAAUUAUUUAAAUAGCUGCAGUAUUUUGACUGUACAAAGGUAGCAUAAUCAAUAGUUUUUUAAUUGAAAGCUGGAAUGAAUGAUUUGAUAAGGUAAAAGUUGUCUCAAAUUUAAUAAAAUUAGAAUUUUUUUUUUUGUUAAAAAACAAAAAUAAAUUUAAAAGACGAGAAGACCCUAUAGAUUUUUAUAUUAUUUAAUUUAUAAGAUAAAAAUUUAUUAAUUUAAUUAUAUAAUAAAUAAUAUUUGAUUGGGGAAAUUAAUAAAUUUAUUUAAUUUUAUUUAUAUUAAAACAAUAAUUAUUGAUUAAUUGAUUUUAAAUAAAAAUUAAAAGAAUAAAAUACCUUAGGGAUAACAGCGUAAUUUUUUUAGAAAGAUCUUAUUGAUAAAAAAGUUUGCGACCUCGAUGUUGAAUUAAGAUAAAAUUUUAUUGGAGGGGAUAAAAAUUUUUGGUCUGUUCGACCAUUAAAAUCUUAC
Molecule: ribosomal RNA, 509 nt
Filed under: Colaulus sp. BFS-2018
Lineage: Eukaryota; Metazoa; Arthropoda; Insecta; Hymenoptera; Ichneumonidae
Description: partial 16S large subunit ribosomal RNA
Rfam family: Archaeal large subunit ribosomal RNA (bases 383-509)
Source: RNAcentral